UGGUUCAGAGACAGGCGGGGAGCAGCUUGAGUCUUGCCUUAGCGUCGUGGCGUUAGCAGGACUGGUUUACAUUGCGGGGGGGAAGUUGUGUUAAUAGGGGCUGAGAGGUGCGGCGCGUCCCGGCUUAGCGUGAUGCGUGGCAGGAUGUCGUGGAUGCGUGGCGGCUUAGCAAAGAUAUGCUAAAGCUGCCAGCCGUGAUGCCGAGCAGAUCUCCAACAAGUAGUUCUUCAUGUUCACUCUGUUUUUUCAUCCAGUAAUGAUCAUCAUCCUACAUUCACCCUGUUGGAGGAGGAGUCAUGUGGAAACCAGGGGCUACCAACUGGUGACGCGCUGCUGGUCCCGGCUUCCCCUGGCUCGUGGAUCGCCGUGCUUUCAUCAACGUUGGGAAUCGCUUUGGCAGAUAUAAUGAAACAGAAUUUAGAUGCCAGAGUAAUGACUUGCUGCUUCUGACAUCAAGGGAGCGUCUCUCUCUCUCUCUCUCUCUCUCUCUCUCUCUGUCUCUCUCUCUCUCUCUCUCUCUCUCUCUCUCUCUCUCUCUCUCUCUCUCUCUCUCUCUCUCUCUCUCUCUCUCUCUCAUGGACAUUCAUUCAAACAAGACAGCUACGGUUUUUAAUCUUGAGUUAGCGUUUAGUUAGGUAAAUAUUUCAAAAUUACUCUGG
Scylla paramamosain (green mud crab) is the source of this 659-nucleotide long non-coding RNA. RefSeq lists it as uncharacterized. NCBI's taxonomy places the organism in Eukaryota, Metazoa, Arthropoda, Malacostraca, Decapoda, Portunidae. The transcript is spliced from 3 exons. The record is from RefSeq and is a predicted model, not a curated record.